This 366-nucleotide ribosomal RNA is filed under the name uncultured eukaryote. RNAcentral's name for it is "partial 18S ribosomal RNA". It matches the Rfam family "Eukaryotic small subunit ribosomal RNA", at positions 592 to 976 of the family's 1831-position model. The record is from RNAcentral.
CAAUAGCGUAUAUUAACGUUGUUGCAGUUAAAAAGCUCGUAGUUGGAUUUCUGGAGGGAGCGUCGGCCCGUAUUUACGAGUGCGUGACGUCUCUGUCCAUCCUUGCGGGAAGGCACGGCAUUGAUUUGUUGUGUCGGAUCGCAUCAUUUACUGUGAAAAAAUUAGAGUGUUCAAAGCAGGCUUUCGCUUGAAUACAUUAGCAUGGAAUAAUAAGAUAGGACUUUGGUGCUAGUUUGUUGGUUGAGCCUAAAGUAAUGAUUAAUAGGGAUAGUUGGGGGCACCUGUAUUGCGUUGUCAGAGGUGAAAUUCUUGGAUUUACGCAAGACAAACAGCUGCGAAAGCGUCUGCCAAGGAUGUUUUCAUUAA